AUUGAACGCUGGCGGCAUGCCUAACACAUGCAAGUCGAACGAGUGGCGGACGGGUGAGUAAUGUCUGGGAAACUGCCCGAUGGAGGGGGUUAACUAUUGGAACCGGUAGCUAAUACGGCAUACCAUCGGAUUUGCCCAGAUGGGAUUAGCUAGGUGGUGGGGUAACGGCUCACCUAGGCGACGAGCCCUAGCUGGUCUGAGAGGAUGACCAGCCACACUGGAACUGAGACACGGUGCAGACCCCGACGAGAGGCAGCAGUGGGGAAUAUUGCACAAUGGGCGCGAGCCUGAUGCAGCCAUGCCGCGUGUAUGAAGAAGGCCUGCGGGUUGGAAAGUACUUUCAGCGAGGAGGCGUUACUCGCAGAAGAAGCACCGGCUAACUCCGUGCCAGCAGCCGCGGGAAAC
Molecule: ribosomal RNA, 405 nt
Filed under: uncultured bacterium
Lineage: Bacteria
Description: partial 16S ribosomal RNA
Rfam family: Bacterial small subunit ribosomal RNA
Source: RNAcentral